Molecule: ribosomal RNA, 937 nt
Filed under: human gut metagenome
Description: bacterial SSU rRNA
Rfam family: Bacterial small subunit ribosomal RNA
Source: RNAcentral
CGACCGGCGCACGGGUGAGUAACGCGUAUGCAACCUGCCCUUCACAGGGGGAUAACCGGGAGAAAUUCCGACUAAUACCGCAUACGUCCUCCGGGGGCAUCCCCGGGGGAUGAAAGAAUUAUCGGUGAAGGAUGGGCAUGCGUGAUAUUAGGUAGUUGGCGGGGCAACGGCCCACCAAGCCCACGAUAUCUAGGGGUUCUGAGAGGAAGGUCCCCCACAUUGGUACUGAGACACGGACCAAACUCCUACGGGAGGCAGCAGUGAGGAAUAUUGGUCAAUGGACGAGAGUCUGAACCAGCCAAGUCGCGUGAAGGAAGACGGAUCUAUGGUUUGUAAACUUCUUUAGUGCGGGAACAAAGCGGCGUCGUGACGCCGGAUGAGUGUACCGCAAGAAUAAGCAUCGGCUAACUCCGUGCCAGCAGCCGCGGUAAUACGGAGGAUGCGAGCGUUAUCCGGAUUUAUUGGGUUUAAAGGGAGCGCAGGCUGCGAGGCAAGUCAGCGGUCAAAUGUCGGGGCUCAACCCCGGCCUGCCGUUGAAACUGUCUUGCUAGAGUUCGCAGUGAGGUAUGCGGAAUGCGUUGUGUAGCGGUGAAAUGCAUAGAUAUGACGCAGAACUCCGAUUGCGAAGGCAGCAUACCAACUCGCGACUGACGCUGAGGCUCGAAAGCGUGGGUAUCGAACAGGAUUAGAUACCCUGGUAGUCCACGCAGUAAACGAUGAAUACUAACUGUUCGGAGGGCGACCUCUGAGUGGUAAAGCGAAAGCGUUAAGUAUUCCACCUGGGGAGUACGCCGGCAACGGUGAAACUCAAAGGAAUUGACGGGGGCCCGCACAAGCGGAGGAACAUGUGGUUUAAUUCGAUGAUACGCGAGGAACCUUACCCGGGCUCAAACGUCGGGCGAACCAUCCUGAAAGGGAUGGGCCAGCAAUGGCGGCC